GUUAGAGUAUGAAGGGACGUCAUUUUCUGAGUGGAGUGUGCCGGAAACCUGUUCCGUGAAAAAUAAAAGGAUUCAGAAGAAGAACGCUAUUUAUUUGUGGACAAAUCUAGUACUUGCUUUCUGUGGUACUAUAGAGUUAUAAAUUUCCCUGAGGUU
Molecule: long non-coding RNA, 156 nt
Organism: Artibeus jamaicensis (Jamaican fruit-eating bat)
Lineage: Eukaryota; Metazoa; Chordata; Mammalia; Chiroptera; Phyllostomidae
Exons: 3
Source: RefSeq, a predicted model, not a curated record